CAUAAAUCCAGGUCACUUAAAUAUUUAAACGUAUAUAUUUACAUUAUAUGAAUUUAUGAGUGAACUCAAUAAAAAAAUGCAUGAGAUGUCUUCUUUGUGAGACGGAAAAAAAUGAACUGGAUAAAGUGAGAAACAAGUAACAUAAUGAUGAAGUAAUCAGUCAAUAGUAAUUCUUUAAUUCAUAAUCAAAACUUGGACUUGACUCUAGUCGGGAAAUAAUGAUAGUAGACAAUAUGACGACGAUGAUUAGUACAGUGAGCACUAGUGGUUACUGUACGGAGCUUUGUAC
Microplitis demolitor is the source of this 289-nucleotide long non-coding RNA. RefSeq lists it as uncharacterized. The record is from RefSeq and is a predicted model, not a curated record. The transcript is spliced from 3 exons. NCBI's taxonomy places the organism in Eukaryota, Metazoa, Arthropoda, Insecta, Hymenoptera, Braconidae.